AUGACAUAAUCAGUAGGCCCUCCCUGAAACAUCUAUUGAAACCUGGAGAGGACUAGCUUCUUCUGUGAUGUCACAAGUGUUGUCGUGACUGCAACUCCCUUCAGAUAUCCCUUCAGUACCUCUAGUGUUUACUAAUUUAACUCUAAUCGAGAGUAAACAGUCAUUGUGGAGUGAGAAGGAAGAGGAUGAUGAGAUCAGAGAUUGGAAGAAUGAAGGUGUCUUCUGUCUUGUUAUAAAAAAAGGAUGAAAUACAUGGUACUUCGGAAAGCUCAAAAAACUCUCAAAACUCAUCCUGGCUGACAAUGUAGAUUAGACGCAUCAGAUGAAAUGAAUUGAAAAACUCUCCUGGGAAUGAAAGUGAUAACUGAAUGAUUAUUGUAAAGCAAAUCCCGGAAUGAACUUAUGAGACCCACCAUCAGCCUGUCAAAUAAUGUGCGAAAGAAGAAAUCUGUGUCUCUCCAGGGACAAAUUGUUGCUUUCAAACCAACAGUAAAGUGUCCAUUCUAUGAAUGAUACAUUGAUAUAUACACAUUAUAGAAGGAUGGAUACAGAGUUUCUUCAGGUCCAUGAAUGAGGUAUUCAGCAGUUGACCUGGAGUAGCAAUGAGGGUAAUUUUUGCCAACUCUUCAGACUUGAGCUCCUUCACUAGGAUCCCCAUGAUUGAAGAAAAGAACAAACUUCAGACAAUUUGUCUCAGAUUUUUAUGUAGUUAAGAUUUCCUGGUCUUGGUCCUAGGAAGGAAGGAUAUCUUGCUUUCCAAUUCUUGUUUAUCCUAUAAUCCUCUCUGCUGCAUUCAUGCAAAUAGAUUACUGUGCAUUUCUUUAAUAGGUUACAAUUGCUAUUUUAAUUAUGUUGCCAAGAACUAUAGAAAAAAAGAAGUACUGUAUCAAAGCAUCAUAUGAAAAUCCGACUAAGGUAAUGUGGCCAUUGGAAAUUUGUAACUGACCUGAAACUCUUACUAGAGACAAAAUGCCAUAAAAGGUCUUCUCUAGAUAUCUGGUGUAGUAGUUGGUGUUCCCCAACAGACAGUAAAGGAUGAAUCUCUCUGUACAGAGAAAUCGGACUAGUCACAAUGAUCACAGACUAUGGAACACAUAAUUUAACAAUGACUGACUAUUUUUAAAGUCCUAGAAUCCAUUAGUUUAUUAGUCCAAAAGGCAAGAUGUCUUAUCUGGUCAUUGACAUAUGGAUAAAUAUUCAGUAUGCAGGUUCUAAUGUCUAUGAGGAUUUGGUAUCACUGUGAGUGCAAAAAUGAAAAAGUAAAGGCUUCUUACUUCCAUGUUUUCUACGGGAAUUCAAAUAGAAUGCAUGGUUUAGAAUACAUUGGGUUUGCCAUUCUCAAACAGACCAAUAUCUUCAACUGAACAUUCUUUUCUUGGAAGCUGCACCCUGUCAGCAUGGCUCACGUGUAUGUGAACUGCAAGAUCUAGUCUGGGAAGGCGGUCCUGUUCAUCGAUCCAACCUGCCCCUAAUACUGAAAUACCCAAGACUUCCUCAAUCAACUCCUUUGCAAACAUGGUCUUCUGGGAUUUGAAGACAUUACAUCUACUAACAACACCAAUUCAAUUCAAGAUUACUUUCAACAGCUCCCUGGAGUGAGAAUUGUUCCUUGGGUCCUUAUAUGUAGAGAAAGACUGCAUAGGCAGACACAGUGAUCUAAUCUACCUGCAACAGAAUGAAGAGAUGAUGAUGUGGCUGAAGCAGAUUGGAGCUCUGCAUUUAUUAAAGGGAUGGCAGUAAAAGCCCAUGCUGACAGCAGACAUUCAGACAUGCUGAAGCCAUGCUGAGACUUGAUGUUUGUCACAGAUGAUGUCAGUAUUUUCUUAUGACUGGGAUUUUCAACAAAUUGGCUUUCAUUCUAUUCCUCAUUCCAAAAAAUCUGUUGCUGUAGGCCUCAAACCAUGGGGUAGGGAAACUUAAGAGACAACAGAGGUUUGAUAAUCCAGUCUUCAUUCACUGACUUGUCUCUACCUCUAAGUCCAUGUUUCACAAUCCAGUGCAUUUAAAUCUCCAGGGAAUCAGUUACUGUUUCUCUACCAUGCUGGUCUGCUGAAGUCAUUUUACAGAAGUCCACUUCCAAGUAAUUAUUAAAGCAAUGAAUAUUUUGAAGUUGUUUAUGAUCUACACACAGGCUUUUUACGCCCCAAGCAUGUACCAUCCCACUUCUGCAUUUGCAGCUCUCAGCCAGUGUUCUCGACCUAUCCAUCCAGCAACCCUUAGAUUCCACACUUUGUAUGAGGAUAAUAUUUGAAAAAACAGAAGAAUAGCUGUAGCAUAGUUGUUCUUCACUGUAGCCAUAUUAACACAGACGGCAGAGCAUAUGAUGCAUUCAUCUCUGUUUGUAGUGUUUAAUUCCCCGUAAAGUCCCAAACAAUUGAGAGUUGAUUCUGUCAGAGUACCAGCAAAGUCAAAAAGGAAAUGCAAAAUUUCAGAAUUCUCCUUCCAAAGAUGUUUUGAAAGAAGUUGUUUGCAAAACACUGUCUUAAUAAAUUUAUUCCAUUCUCACUUUGAU
Non-coding RNA from Rattus norvegicus (Norway rat), 2512 nucleotides. The record is from RefSeq and is a predicted model, not a curated record. Lineage: Eukaryota; Metazoa; Chordata; Mammalia; Rodentia; Muridae.